This 73-nucleotide transfer RNA is filed under the name Magnusiomyces capitatus. RNAcentral describes it as "tRNA-Met". It matches the Rfam family "tRNA". From Rfam's summary of the family: Transfer RNA (tRNA) molecules are approximately 80 nucleotides in length. Their secondary structure includes four short double-helical elements and three loops (D, anti-codon, and T loops). Lineage: Eukaryota; Fungi; Ascomycota; Dipodascomycetes; Dipodascales; Dipodascaceae. The record is from RNAcentral.
GCUUAGAUAGUUUAAUAGGUUAAAACCCCCGCUUCAUGAGCGGAGAAUGUAGGUUCAAUUCCUUCUCUAAGUA